This 24-nucleotide non-coding RNA is filed under the name Arabidopsis thaliana (thale cress). Lineage: Eukaryota; Viridiplantae; Streptophyta; Magnoliopsida; Brassicales; Brassicaceae. The record is from RNAcentral.
CGGGUUUAGCAAGACGUUACUUAA